Molecule: ribosomal RNA, 492 nt
Filed under: uncultured bacterium
Lineage: Bacteria
Description: partial 16S ribosomal RNA
Rfam family: Bacterial small subunit ribosomal RNA
Source: RNAcentral
AGUGAACGCUGGCGGUAGGCCUAACACAUGCAAGUCGAACGGCAGCACAGUACGAGUUUGCUCUUCCGGGUGGGGGGAGGGGGACGGGUGAGGAAUAUAUCGGAAUCUUCUUUUUCGGGGGGCUUCACGUAGGGAAACCUACGACAAUAUCGCAUCUGACCCACCAGUGAAAGCAUUGGAUCUUUGGACCUUGUGCGAUUGAACGCGCCGAUGUCGGGGUAGCUAGUUGGCGGGGUAAAGGCCAACCCAGGCGCCGAUCCGCAGCUGGUCAGAGAGGAUGGUCAGCCACACUGGAGGUGGGACAGGGACCAGAGUCCUACGGGAGGCAGCAGUCGGGAAUAUUGGACAGUGGGCGCAAGCCUGGCCCAGCCAUACCGCGUGGGUGAAGAAGGCCUUGGGGUUGUGAAGCCCUUUUGUUGGGAAUGAAAAGCAGCAGGUUAAGACCCCGCUGGUCUGACGGUACCCAAAGAAGAAGCACCGGCUAACUACGUG